CCUACGGGUGGCAGCAGUGGGGAAUAUUGGACAAUGGGGGCAACCCUGAUCCAGCGACGCCGCGUGAGUGAAGAAGGCUUUCGGUAUGUAAAGCUCUAUUGGCAGGGAAGAAAGAAGUGACGGUACCUGACUAAGAAGCCCCGGCUAACUACGUGCCAGCAGCCGCGGUAAUACGUAGGGGGCAAGCGUUAUCCGGAUUUACUGGGUGUAAAGGGAGCGUAGGCGGGGCUGCAAGUCGGAAGUGAAAGGCCGGGGCCCAACCCCCGUACUGCAUUUGAAACUGUAUGGCUUGAGUGCAGGAGAGGUAAGUGGAAUUCCGAGUGUAGCGGUGAAAUGCGUAGAUAUAAGGAGGAACACCAGUGGCGAAGGCGGCUUAUUGGACUGUAACUGACGCUGAGGCUCGAAAGCGUGGGGAGCAAACAGGAUUAGAUACCCGAGUAGUC
RNAcentral lists this ribosomal RNA (443 nucleotides) under uncultured bacterium. RNAcentral describes it as "partial 16S ribosomal RNA". It matches the Rfam family "Bacterial small subunit ribosomal RNA", at positions 338 to 795 of the family's 1533-position model. The record is from RNAcentral.